CAGCAGCCACGGUAAUACGGAGGGUGCAAGCGUUAUCCGGAUUUAUUGGGUUUAAAGGGUCCGUAGGCGGAUCUGUAAGUCAGUGGUGAAAUCUCACAGCUUAACUGUGAAACUGCCAUUGAUACUGCAGGUCUUGAGUAAAUUUGAAGUGGCUGGAAUAAGUAGUGUAGCGGUGAAAUGCAUAGAUAUUACUUAGAACACCAAUUGCGAAGGCAGGUCACUAAGAUUUAACUGACGCUGAUGGACGAAAGCGUGGGGAGCGAACAGGAUUAGAUACCCGAGUAGUCCCUGUCUCUUAUAA
RNAcentral lists this ribosomal RNA (301 nucleotides) under uncultured bacterium. RNAcentral describes it as "partial 16S ribosomal RNA". It matches the Rfam family "Bacterial small subunit ribosomal RNA", at positions 509 to 809 of the family's 1533-position model. The record is from RNAcentral.